Molecule: unclassified non-coding RNA, 243 nt
Filed under: Hevea brasiliensis (rubber tree)
Lineage: Eukaryota; Viridiplantae; Streptophyta; Magnoliopsida; Malpighiales; Euphorbiaceae
Source: RNAcentral
UUUGUAAACGGAUAAUAAUAGUAAACAUUAUAACUAUAUGCUAGAAAAACUCUAAUUGCUAAAAAAAAUAAAAUUCAUUACAAGCACAAAAGCCUUUGAUCACUUGCAUACCUGAUAAUCCAAAACUCAAAAAGUACCAGCAAUUCCAUCAUCCUGAAUCCUUAAAGAUUUUACAAAGAAAUCCUUAAAGAUUUUACAAAGAUAGUUUCAAAUAUUAUCAUUUUCUAUCGUCUUAAAUCCUAA